Molecule: long non-coding RNA, 442 nt
Organism: Prunus avium (sweet cherry)
Lineage: Eukaryota; Viridiplantae; Streptophyta; Magnoliopsida; Rosales; Rosaceae
Source: RefSeq, a predicted model, not a curated record
CCAUAUCUCUCUUUUUUCUUUCUUUUUUUCCAUCCCUCUCUCUUCUGUUCCUUCUUCUCCUUCUUCCCGCUCUCCCUCGAAGACCAGUUGUUGUCUGGCCUGGCCUUAUCCUUUUCGUGGGCUAAUAUUCAGAUCUGAACCGCAUCUCCCCUUAGAAAGAACAGAGUUUUUUAUAUGUGAAGCCCAACCGACGCCGACAUUGUUCACACAGAUCUACCACCAUCCCUUUAUCAUGAUGAAGAUGAUGAGGACAAAGAAGAAACGCUCAAGAUAUAAUUAAUUUUUACCAGUUGGAGUUUGAUUUUUAGAUGAUGAAGAUGAUGAAGAUGAUGAGGACCGACAACACUCAAGAUGCCAUAAGACUAAAUUGUAAUUAAUCAAUUAGAGAAUUGUAAUGAAUUUUUUUGGUUGAAAAUUUUAAUGGAAUUGCAAUCAAAUGAUA